AGAGUUUGAUCCUGGCUCAGGACGAACGCUGGCGGCGUGCCUAAUGCAUGCAAGUCGCACGCGCCACCUUCGGGUGGUGAGUGGCGCACGGCUGAGGAUCACGUGGGAACAUGCCUCCUUGUGGGGGACAACAGCGCGAAAGCGAUGCUAAUCCCGCAUACGCUCGGCAACGAGGAAAGCUUUCACAAGCGCAGGGAGAGUGGCCCGCGGCCCAUCAGGUCGUUGGUGGGGUAAUGGCCUACCAAGCCGAUGACGGGUAGCUGGUCUGUGAGGGCAGACAGCCAGACUGGGACUGAGACACGGCCCAGACUCCUACGGGAGGCAGCAGCAAGGAAUUUUCGUCAAUGGGCGCAAGCCUGAACGAGCAACGCCGCGUGGAGGAUGACGGCCUUCGGGUUGUAAACUCCUUUUUCGGGGGACGAUAAUGACGGUACCCCGGGAAUAAGGCUCGGCUAACUCUGUGCCAGCCGCCGCGGUAAUAC
This 482-nucleotide ribosomal RNA is filed under the name uncultured bacterium. RNAcentral's name for it is "bacterial SSU rRNA". It matches the Rfam family "Bacterial small subunit ribosomal RNA", at positions 8 to 526 of the family's 1533-position model. The record is from RNAcentral.